AAGUGGAUUAGUGGCGCACGGGUGAGUAAUGCAUAGGUUAUGUGCCCCAUAGUCUGGGAUAGCCACUGGAAACGGUGAUUAAUACUGGAUACUCCCUACGGGGGAAAGUUUUUCGCUAUGGGAUCAGCCUAUGUCCUAUCAGCUUGUUGGUGAGGUAAUGGCUCACCAAGGCUAUGACGGGUAUCCGGCCUGAGAGGGUGAUCGGACACACUGGAACUGAGACACGGUCCAGACUCCUACGGGAGGCAGCAGUAGGGAAUAUUGCUCAAUGGGCGAAAGCCUGAAGCAGCAACGCCGCGUGGAGGAUGAAGGUUUUAGGAUUGUAAACUCCUUUUGUUAGAGAAGAUU
RNAcentral lists this ribosomal RNA (348 nucleotides) under uncultured Helicobacter sp. RNAcentral's name for it is "bacterial SSU rRNA". It matches the Rfam family "Bacterial small subunit ribosomal RNA", at positions 85 to 450 of the family's 1533-position model. The record is from RNAcentral. Lineage: Bacteria; Pseudomonadati; Campylobacterota; Epsilonproteobacteria; Campylobacterales; Helicobacteraceae.